UUCUAGCUAGUUUCACGCCAGGUAGUGGUAC
RNAcentral lists this non-coding RNA (31 nucleotides) under Rattus norvegicus (Norway rat). The record is from RNAcentral. Lineage: Eukaryota; Metazoa; Chordata; Mammalia; Rodentia; Muridae.